This 253-nucleotide ribosomal RNA is filed under the name uncultured bacterium. Its description in RNAcentral is "partial 16S ribosomal RNA". It matches the Rfam family "Bacterial small subunit ribosomal RNA", at positions 524 to 776 of the family's 1533-position model. The record is from RNAcentral.
UACGUAGGGUGCAAGCGUUAAUCGGAAUUACUGGGCGUAAAGCGUGCGCAGGCGGUUCUUUAAGUCAGAUGUGAAAUCCCCGGGCUCAACCUGGGAACUGCAUUUGUGACUGUAGAGCUGGAGUGCGGCAGAGGGGGAUGGAAUUCCGCGUGUAGCAGUGAAAUGCGUAGAUAUGCGGAGGAACACCGAUGGCGAAGGCAAUCCCCUGGGCCUGCACUGACGCUCAUGCACGAAAGCGUGGGGAGCAAACAGG